GAAUAUUGGCCAAUGGGGGGAACCCUGAUCCAGCCAUGCCGCGUGUGUGAAGAAGGCCUUUUGGUUGUAAAGCACUUUAAGCGAGGAGGAGGCUACCUGGAUUACUACUUUAGGAGAGGGGACGUUACUCGCAGCAUAAGCACCGGCUAACUCUGUGCCAGCAGCCGCGGUAAUACAGAGGGUGCGAGCGUUAAUCGGAUUUACUGGGCGGAAAGCGUGCGUAGGCGGCUAAUUAAGUCAAAUGUGAAAUCCCCGAGCUUAACGUGGGAAUUGCAUUCGAUACUGGUUGGCUAGAGUAUGGGAGAAGAUGGUAGAAUUCCAGGUGUAGCGGUGAAAUGCGUAGAGAUCUGGAGGAAUACCGAUGGCGAAGGCAGCCAUCUGGCCUAAUACUGACGCUGAGGUACGAAAGCAUGGGGAGCAAACAG
RNAcentral lists this ribosomal RNA (425 nucleotides) under uncultured bacterium. RNAcentral's name for it is "partial 16S ribosomal RNA". It matches the Rfam family "Bacterial small subunit ribosomal RNA", at positions 359 to 775 of the family's 1533-position model. The record is from RNAcentral.